Molecule: ribosomal RNA, 460 nt
Filed under: uncultured bacterium
Lineage: Bacteria
Description: partial 16S ribosomal RNA
Rfam family: Bacterial small subunit ribosomal RNA
Source: RNAcentral
CCUACGGGUGGCAGCAGUGAGGAAUAUUGGUCAAUGGACGAGAGUCUGAACCAGCCAAGUAGCGUGAAGGAUGACUGCCCUAUGGGUUGUAACCUUCUUUUAUAUGGGAAUAAAAUGUUCCACGUGUGGGAUUUUGUAUGUACCAUAUGAAUAAGGAUCGGCUAAUUCCGUGCCAGCAGCCGCGGUAAUACGGAGGAUCCGAGCGUUAUCCGGAUUUAUUGGGUUUAAAGGGAGCGUAGGUGGAUUGUUAAGUCAGUUGUGAAAGUUUCCGGCUUAACCGUAAAAUUGCAGUUGAAACUGGUAGUCGUGAGUACAGUAGAGGUGGGCGGAAUUCGUGGUGUAGCGGUAAAAUGCUUAGAUAUCACGAAGAACUCCGAUUGCGAAGGCAGCUCACUGGACUGCAACUGACACUGAGGCUCGAAAGUGUGGGUAUCAAACAGGAUUAGAUACCCUAGUAGUC